This 1247-nucleotide ribosomal RNA is filed under the name metagenome. RNAcentral describes it as "bacterial LSU rRNA". It matches the Rfam family "Bacterial large subunit ribosomal RNA", at positions 1634 to 2874 of the family's 2925-position model. The record is from RNAcentral.
AUAUACGACCGUACCGCAAACCGACACUGGUGCGCGAGAUGAGUAUUCUAAGGCGCUCGAGAGAACUCAGGAGAAGGAACUCGGCAAAUUGACACCGUAACUUCGGAAGAAGGUGUGCCCUAUUAGUGUGUAGUGAAUAACGAAGCAUGAAUGGGUUGCAAAAAAUCGGUGGCUGCGACUGUUUAUUAAAAACACAGCACUCUGCAAACACGAAAGUGGACGUAUAGGGUGUGACGCCUGCCCGGUGCUGGAAGAUUAAAUGAUGGGGUGCAAGCUCUUGAUUGAAGUCCCAGUAAACGGCGGCCGUAACAAUAACGGUCCUAAGGUAGCGAAAUUCCUUGUCGGGUAAGUUCCGACCUGCACGAAUGGCGUAACGAUGGCCACACUGUCUCCUCCUGAGACUCAGCGAAGUUGAAAUGUUUGUGAUGAUGCAAUCUCCCCGCGGAAAGACGGAAAGACCCCAUGAACCUUUACUGUAGCUUUGUAUUGGACUUUGAACAGAUCUGUGUAGGAUAGGUGGGAGGCUUUGAAGCAGGGUCGCUAGAUCUUGUGGAGCCAACGUUGAAAUACACCCUGGUGUGUUUGAGGUUCUAACCUAGGUCCAUUAUCUGGAUCGGGGACAGUGCAUGGUAGGCAGUUUGACUGGGGCGGUCUCCUCCCAAAGCGUAACGGAGGAGUUCGAAGGUACGCUAGUUACGGUCGGACAUCGUGACGAUAGUGCAAUGGCAUAAGCGUGCUUAACUGCGAGACUGACAAGUCGAGCAGAUGCGAAAGCAGGACAUAGUGAUCCGGUGGUUCUGUAUGGAAGGGCCAUCGCUCAACGGAUAAAAGGUACUCUGGGGAUAACAGGCUGAUACCGCCCAAGAGUUCAUAUCGACGGCGGUGUUUGGCACCUCGAUGUCGGCUCAUCUCAUCCUGGGGCUGUAGCCGGUCCCAAGGGUAUGGCUGUUCGCCAUUUAAAGAGGUACGUGAGCUGGGUUUAAAACGUCGUGAGACAGUUUGGUCCCUAUCUUCCGUGGGCGCUGCAGAUUUGAGGAAGCCUGCUCCUAGUACGAGAGGACCGGAGUGGACACACCUCUGGUGUAUCGGUUGUCACGCCAGUGGCAUUGCCGAGUAGCUAAGUGUGGAAGAGAUAACCGCUGAAAGCAUCUAAGCGGGAAACUCGUUUCAAGAUGAGAUCUGCCGGGGCCUUGAGCCCCCUAAAGAGUCGUUCAAGACCAGGACGUUGAUAGGUCAGGUGUGGAAGC